Molecule: ribosomal RNA, 559 nt
Filed under: Candida tropicalis
Lineage: Eukaryota; Fungi; Ascomycota; Pichiomycetes; Serinales; Debaryomycetaceae
Description: eukaryotic LSU rRNA
Rfam family: Eukaryotic large subunit ribosomal RNA
Source: RNAcentral
UGCCUUAGUAGCGGCGAGUGAAGCGGCAAAAGCUCAAAUUUGAAAUCUGGCUCUUUCAGAGUCCGAGUUGUAAUUUGAAGAAGGUAUCUUUGGGUCUGGCUCUUGUCUAUGUUUCUUGGAACAGAACGUCACAGAGGGUGAGAAUCCCGUGCGAUGAGAUGAUCCAGGCCUAUGUAAAGUUCCUUCGAAGAGUCGAGUUGUUUGGGAAUGCAGCUCUAAGUGGGUGGUAAAUUCCAUCUAAAGCUAAAUAUUGGCGAGAGACCGAUAGCGAACAAGUACAGUGAUGGAAAGAUGAAAAGAACUUUGAAAAGAGAGUGAAAAAGUACGUGAAAUUGUUGAAAGGGAAGGGCUUGAGAUCAGACUUGGUAUUUUGUAUGUUACUUCUUCGGGGGUGGCCUCUACAGUUUAUCGGGCCAGCAUCAGUUUGGGCGGUAGGAGAAUUGCGUUGGAAUGUGGCACGGCUUCGGUUGUGUGUUAUAGCCUUCGUCGAUACUGCCAGCCUAGACUGAGGACUGCGGUUUAUACCUAGGAUGUUGGCAUAAUGAUCUUAAGUCGCCCG